Molecule: ribosomal RNA, 433 nt
Filed under: uncultured bacterium
Lineage: Bacteria
Description: partial 16S ribosomal RNA
Rfam family: Bacterial small subunit ribosomal RNA
Source: RNAcentral
AACGAACGCUGGCGGCAUGCCUAACACAUGCAAGUCGAACGAGACCUUCGGUUCUAGUGGCGCACGGGUGCGUAACGCGUGGGAACCUGCCCUUAGGUUCGGAAUAACUCCCCGAAAGGGGUGCUAAUACCGGAUAAUUUCUUCGGACCAAAGAUUUAUCGCCUUUGGAUGGGCCCGCGUUGGAUUAGCUAGUUGUUAGGGUAAAAGCCUACCAAGGCGACGAUCCAUAGCUGGUCUGAGAGGAUGAUCAGCCACACUGGGACUGAGACACGGCCCAGACUCCUACGGGAGGCAGCAGUGGGGAAUAUUGGACAAGGGGCGAAAGCCUGAUACAGCAAUGGCGCGUGAGUGAUGAAGGCCUUAGGGUUGUAAAGCUCUUGUAGCCGGGAUGAUAAUGACAGUACCGGGAGAAUAAGCUCCGGCUAACUCCGUG